RNAcentral lists this ribosomal RNA (441 nucleotides) under uncultured bacterium. Its description in RNAcentral is "bacterial SSU rRNA". It matches the Rfam family "Bacterial small subunit ribosomal RNA", at positions 9 to 453 of the family's 1533-position model. The record is from RNAcentral.
GAGUUUGAUCAUGGCUCAGGACGAACGCUGGCGGCGUGCUUAACACAUGCAAGUCGAACGGUGAUCCCUGGCUUGCUGGGGUGAUCAGUGGCGAACGGGUGAGUAACACGUGAGUAACCUGCCCAUGGCUCUGGGAUAACCUGGGGAAACCGAGGCUAAUACCGGAUAUGACGCGCACAGGCAUCUGUUGCGUGUGGAAAGUUUUUCGGCCAUGGAUGGGCUCGCGGCCUAUCAGCUUGUUGGUGGGGUAAUGGCCUACCAAGGCGACGACGGGUAGCCGGCCUGAGAGGGCGAUCGGCCACACUGGGACUGAGACACGGCCCAGACUCCUACGGGAGGCAGCAGUGGGGAAUAUUGCGCAAUGGGCGAAAGCCUGACGCAGCGACGCCGCGUGAGGGAUGAAGGCCUGGUUGUAACCGUCUUCUAGCUCUGACGAAGCGU